GCGGCAGUGGCGGAAUCGGCAGACGCGCUAGAUUCAGGUUCUAGUAUUCGCAAGGAUGUGGAGGUUCAAGUCCUCUCUGCCGCA
RNAcentral lists this transfer RNA (84 nucleotides) under hydrocarbon metagenome. RNAcentral's name for it is "tRNA-Leu". It matches the Rfam family "tRNA". From Rfam's summary of the family: Transfer RNA (tRNA) molecules are approximately 80 nucleotides in length. The record is from RNAcentral.